Molecule: unclassified non-coding RNA, 306 nt
Filed under: Hevea brasiliensis (rubber tree)
Lineage: Eukaryota; Viridiplantae; Streptophyta; Magnoliopsida; Malpighiales; Euphorbiaceae
Source: RNAcentral
UCAUCAAGCUUGGCUUCCGUGUCCGCGCCGGCGUUAGAAGUGCACAGAGAGCAUCGUCCCUUGUGCAGAGUGUUGAGCAACUGAAAGUCGAUGACGAUGCAACUUCGCCCGCAGAAAGGCUCGAGAUCGUAGAAUGCGACCUGGAGAAGCAGGCGCAGUCAGACAUCGUGUCGGCCAUUGGCAACGCGGCGAUUGUGGUGUGCUCCAUCGGCGCCAGCGAGAAGGACAUCCUGGAUGUAACGGGCCCCUACCGUAUCGACUACAUGGCCACCAACAACCUCGUGCAGGCUGCAACUGCUGCAAAGG